RNAcentral lists this ribosomal RNA (894 nucleotides) under uncultured bacterium. RNAcentral's name for it is "bacterial SSU rRNA". It matches the Rfam family "Bacterial small subunit ribosomal RNA", at positions 1 to 889 of the family's 1533-position model. The record is from RNAcentral.
UGAAGGGUUUGAUCCUGGCUCAGAACGAACGCUGGCGGCGUGGCUAAGACAUGCAAGUCGAACGGACUGUUCAAUUUAUUGUUCAGUUAGUGGCGAAAGGGUUAGUAACGGGUAGGUAACGUACCCUGUGCUUUGGGAUAGCGUCAGUUACUUCGGUAACUUUCCGAAAGGGGCGGUAAUACCAAAUAACAUCAUUUGUCGAUAGGCGAAUGAUCAAAGAUUUAUCGGCACGGGAGCGGCCUGCCUCCUAUCAUCUUGUUGGUGGGGUAACGGCUCACCAAGGCAACGACGGGUAGCGGGACUGAGAGGUUGGCCCGCAACAUCGGGACUGAGACACUGCCCGGACCUCCACGGAGGGCUGCAGUAACGAAUAUUGUGCAAUGGGCGAAAGCCUGACACAGCGACGCCGCGUGUAGGAUGAAGUCUUUCGGGAUGUAAACUACUGUCAGGGGGAAGAAAGUGCGCUCCGGCGUAUUGAUCUAACCCAGAGGAAGUCACGGCUAACUUCGUGCCAGCAGCCGCGGUAAGACGAAGGUGGCAAGCGUUGUUCGGUAUUACUGGGCUUAAAGCGUGUGUAGGCGGAAAUGUAAGCGUUGCGUGAAAUCCCCCGGCUUAACCGGGGAACUGCGCAGCGAACUGCGUUUCUUGAGGCAAGUAGGGGUACAUGGAACUCUUGGUGGAGCGGUGGAAUGCGUAGAUAUCAAGAGGAACGCCAGUGGAGAAAUCGGCGUACUGGGCUUGUACUGACGCUGAGACACGAAAGCGUGGGGAGCGAACGGGAUUAGAUACCCCGGUAGUCCACGCCGUAAACGAUGCCUACUAGGUUGUGGUGGUUCUGACACCAGCACGGCCGAAGCAAAAGUGUUAAGUAGGCCGCCUGGGGAGUACGGUCGC